RNAcentral lists this long non-coding RNA (986 nucleotides) under Homo sapiens (human). RNAcentral's name for it is "HSALNT0277932". Lineage: Eukaryota; Metazoa; Chordata; Mammalia; Primates; Hominidae. The record is from RNAcentral.
CAGAGGUGAGAUAGACUCCAGUCUCCCAUAGCGCUCCCAGGCUUAUUAGGAAGAGGAAAUUCCCGCCUACUAAAUUUUGGUCAGACGGGUUGCUCUUAAAACCCUGUCUCCUGAUAAGAUGUUAUCAAUGACAAUGGUGCCCGAAACUUCAUUAGCAAUUUUAAUUUUGCCUCAGUCCUGAGGUCCUGUGAUCUCGCCCUGCCUCCACUUGCCUUGUGAUAUUCUAUUACCCUGUUAAGUACUUGAUGUCUGUGACCCACACCUAUUCACACACUCCCUCCCCUUUUGAAAAUCCCUAAUAAAAACUUGCUGGUUUUUGCGGCUUGUGAGGCAUCACGGAUCCUACCAACAUGUGAUGUCUCCCCCGGAAGCCCAGCUUUAAAAUUUCUCUCUUUUGUACUCUGUCCCUUUAUUUCUCAAGCCAGCCGACACUUAAGAAAAUAGAAAAGAACCUACAUGAUUAUCGGACCAGUAACCCAAGAGCACCCACUCAGGGCCACGGCUCAGGCAGGAACCUGGGAUGCAAGGAUGGAUGGCACAUGGUCCUCCCUCCAGGAGAUCACAGUGUAGGGAAAUCAACGAGGACCCAUAGUGAGCCCCUCCAUCCCACGUACCCCCUCCUCUAUCCACUUGUGGGCACUGCAGCCUGGACUUCUGCAUCAGCAGCUGUGUGGAGGUCUGUUACCCUGAGAUCUGCAGCCAGGACAGGGGGCUGUGCCCAGGAACAAGGAGCACAUUGCUUUGCUGGUGUCUGUGAGCAGCUGGAGAUGGUGGUGAACGGUCUGUUUGCAUUUCUUGGAAGAAGAUCUUUUAUUCUGCUGCUCAACCCAGGUCUCUGCCUUCCUUAGAGACUGAGGCCCAUCCUUCAGUUUCCCUGAUUCUGGAAGAGCAGGGGGGUUGAAUGGAGCAGGAGGUCAUGAUGGAGACUUGGGCCCCAGCAUCCCGCAGCAUUUGCAGCGCCUCCUUAUAUAGGGGGUCGUAAUCAU